Molecule: ribosomal RNA, 1436 nt
Filed under: uncultured organism
Description: 16S ribosomal RNA
Rfam family: Bacterial small subunit ribosomal RNA
Source: RNAcentral
AACGCUGGCGGCGUGCUUAACACAUGCAAGUCGAACGGAAAGGCCCUGCUUUUGUGGGGUGCUCGAGUGGCGAACGGGUGAGUAACACGUGAGUAACCUGCCCUUGACUUUGGGAUAACUUCAGGAAACUGGGGCUAAUACCGGAUAGGAGCUCCUGCUGCAUGGUGGGGGUUGGAAAGUUUCGGCGGUUGGGGAUGGACUCGCGGCUUAUCAGCUUGUUGGUGGGGUAGUGGCUUACCAAGGCUUUGACGGGUAGCCGGCCUGAGAGGGUGACCGGCCACAUUGGGACUGAGAUACGGCCCAGACUCCUACGGGAGGCAGCAGUGGGGAAUAUUGCACAAUGGGCGGAAGCCUGAUGCAGCAACGCCGCGUGCGGGAUGACGGCCUUCGGGUUGUAAACCGCUUUCGCCUGUGACGAAGCGUGAGUGACGGUAAUGGGUAAAGAAGCACCGGCUAACUACGUGCCAGCAGCCGCGGUGAUACGUAGGGUGCGAGCGUUGUCCGGAUUUAUUGGGCGUAAAGGGCUCGCAGGUGGUUGAUCGCGUCGGAAGUGUAAUCUUGGGGCUUAACCCUGAGCGUGCUUUCGAUACGGGUUGACUUGAGGAAGGUAGGGGAGAAUGGAAUUCCUGGUGGAGCGGUGGAAUGCGCAGAUAUCAGGAGGAACACCAGUGGCGAAGGCGGUUCUCUGGGCCUUUCCUGACGCUGAGGAGCGAAAGCGUGGGGAGCGAACAGGCUUAGAUACCCUGGUAGUCCACGCUGUAAACGGUGGGUACUAGGUGUGGGGUCCAUUCCACGGGUUCCGUGCCGUAGCUAACGCUUUAAGUACCCCGCCUGGGGAGUACGGCCGCAAGGCUAAAACUCAAAGGAAUUGACGGGGCCCCGCACAAGCGGCGGAGCAUGCGGAUUAAUUCGAUGCAACGCGUAGAACCUUACCUGGGUUUGACAUGGAUCGGGAGUGCUCAGAGAUGGGUGUGCCUCUUUUGGGGUCGGUUCACAGGUGGUGCAUGGCUGUCGUCAGCUCGUGUCGUGAGAUGUUGGGUUAAGUCCCGCAACGAGCGCAACCCUUGUUCACUGUUGCCAGCACGUUAUGGUGGGGACUCAGUGGAGACCGCCGGGGUCAACUCGGAGGAAGGUGGGGAUGACGUCAAGUCAUCAUGCCCCUUAUGUCCAGGGCUUCACGCAUGCUACAAUGGCUGGUACAGAGAGUGGCGAGCCUGUGAGGGUGAGCGAAUCUCGGAAAGCCGGUCUCAGUUCGGAUUGGGGUCUGCAACUCGACCUCAUGAAGUCGGAGUCGCUAGUAAUCGCAGAUCAGCAACGCUGCGGUGAAUACGUUCCCGGGGCUUGUACACACCGCCCGUCAAGUCAUGAAAGUUGGUAACACCCGAAGCCGGUGGCCUAACCGUUGUGGGGGAGCCGUCGAAGGUGGGACUGGUGAU